This is a non-coding RNA of Delphinapterus leucas (beluga whale), 400 nucleotides long. The record is from RefSeq and is a predicted model, not a curated record. NCBI's taxonomy places the organism in Eukaryota, Metazoa, Chordata, Mammalia, Artiodactyla, Monodontidae.
AUAUGUGUUCAUUUAACACACUGGUGUUAAAUUCAUUCUUGCUGCAAAAGAAGGCCAUUGUACUUCCUGACCCCAAAAGCAAGAUGAAGUAACUGAGACACCAAAGGUUAAUUGCUCGCCCAAAGCCACGCAGCAACUCUGUUGGAGUUACUUUAGUGUCUAAAAUUCCACAUUGUAUACUUUUAGCAAAAUCAAUAGUCACUCAUUCAAAUGAGGAGAUGGUAAUUAGAGAUGGGACAGACCCCCAACAUAUCCUCCGUUUGAAGAUAGAGUAAAUUCAGUGAGAUCAUCUACUUCUUUUCAUUUUCUUUCUCAGAAGAGUAUGUGUUUUUUCCCUACCCAAAUGUUUCAGUGAACAUUGCAGCUGUGCAGCAAGAGGCAGUUUUGCAUGCAUAUAGUC